GCGCUCGUAGCUCAACUGGAUAGAGCGGCUGGCUUCGAACCAGUAGGUCGCAGGUUCAACUCCUGCCGAGCGCGCCA
RNAcentral lists this transfer RNA (77 nucleotides) under Candidatus Omnitrophota bacterium. Its description in RNAcentral is "Candidatus Omnitrophica bacterium tRNA-Arg". It matches the Rfam family "tRNA". Rfam says of the family: Transfer RNA (tRNA) molecules are approximately 80 nucleotides in length. Their secondary structure includes four short double-helical elements and three loops (D, anti-codon, and T loops). Further hydrogen bonds mediate the characteristic L-shaped molecular structure. tRNAs have two regions of fundamental functional importance: the anti-codon, which is responsible for specific mRNA codon recognition, and the 3' end, to which the tRNAs corresponding amino acid is attached (by aminoacyl-tRNA synthetases). tRNAs cope with the degeneracy of the genetic code in two manners: having more than one tRNA (with a specific anti-codon) for a particular amino acid; and 'wobble' base-pairing, i.e. permitting non-standard base-pairing at the 3rd anti-codon position. Lineage: Bacteria; Pseudomonadati; Candidatus Omnitrophota. The record is from RNAcentral.